RNAcentral lists this ribosomal RNA (253 nucleotides) under uncultured bacterium. Its description in RNAcentral is "partial 16S ribosomal RNA". It matches the Rfam family "Bacterial small subunit ribosomal RNA", at positions 524 to 776 of the family's 1533-position model. The record is from RNAcentral.
UACGAGGGGAGCUAGCGUUGUUCGGAAUUACUGGGCGUAAAGGGCGCGUAGGCGGUAUCAUAAGUCAGAUGUGAAAGCCCCAGGCUCAACCUGGGAGGUGCAUUUGAGACUAUGGAACUAGAGAUCGAGAGAGGAAAGUGGAAUUACGAGUGUAGAGGUGAAAUUCGUAGAUAUUCGUAAGAACACCAGUGGCGAAGGCGACUUUCUGGCUCGAUACUGACGCUGAGGCGCGAAAGCCAGGGGAGCGAACGGG